UUAGUAAAAUCUGCUCAAUGAAUCCUUAAAUAGCCGCGGCUAUCCGUGCUAAGGUAGCAUAAUCAUUUGCCUUUUAAUUAGAGGCUAGAAUGAACGGCUUAACAUGUUAGUACCUUUAUUUUUAGGGUUUCUUAAAAUUUUCCUGAAAGUAAAAAGACUUUCAUACCUCAGGGGGACGACAAGACCCUAUCGAACUUUACUCCUUUCAGUUGUGCUGGGGCGGCCUAAAACAAAUGCUUUAUCUUUCGUCUCAUUCCAACCCUCCGUAGGAUAAACCAAGUUACCGUAGGGAUAACAGCAUAAUUUUUUCCUAAAGACCUUAUUCAAGAAAAAGAUUGUGACCUCGAUGUUGAAUUAAUAUUCUUUUACGAAGCAAGAUUCUAAAAAGAAAGUCUGUUCGACUU
Molecule: ribosomal RNA, 404 nt
Filed under: Macrothele monocirculata
Lineage: Eukaryota; Metazoa; Arthropoda; Arachnida; Araneae; Macrothelidae
Description: partial large subunit ribosomal RNA
Rfam family: Bacterial large subunit ribosomal RNA
Source: RNAcentral